This 490-nucleotide long non-coding RNA is filed under the name Monodelphis domestica (gray short-tailed opossum). Its description in RNAcentral is "lncRNA (ENSMODG00000030039.2)". Lineage: Eukaryota; Metazoa; Chordata; Mammalia; Didelphimorphia; Didelphidae. The record is from RNAcentral.
GCAAUGACCUAGGAUACAGUCAAACCUUGGUUUCUUUUUGAUGUCUUACAGAGCUCUAAUACUCCACAGUGCUCACUUUAGCUGUCUUCAUUGCCAUUGGAACAAGUUGUUCUUGUCUGUCAUUCCAUUUUGGGAAAUCAUCAUAUGCUUGGGGUAGCCAUCUCCCUACUUCACCAACAGGAUUAAAGUCUAUCAACUACUCUCAACCUGCAGAGAAGGUUCUAUGGAGAUCAAUUCUGAAGCAAUUAAAUAAGCAGCCGACAAGGCUUUUUAAGCACCAGAGCAUUUGUCUCAAUAGAAAGCAGAGCAAGACCAAAGUCUUUCAAAUCCAGUGGCUGGACACAAGUCAAAAUGACUGACAAUGGCCCAGGAUGCAACAGAUGACCUUAGCAUCUUUGAUGCCUGAGCAAGCUCUAAGCAUUACAUAGCACCAGCUUCACCUAUCUUCAUAGUUGUUGGAACAGUCAAUAAAAAAUAGUUCUUGUACUCA